This 446-nucleotide ribosomal RNA is filed under the name uncultured bacterium. RNAcentral's name for it is "partial 16S ribosomal RNA". It matches the Rfam family "Bacterial small subunit ribosomal RNA", at positions 338 to 795 of the family's 1533-position model. The record is from RNAcentral.
CCUACGGGCGGCAGCAGUAGGGAAUUUUCGGCAAUGGGGGGAACCCUGACCGAGCAACGCCGCGUGAACGAAGAAGUUACUCGUAAUGUAAAGUUCUUUUAACAGGGAAGAAAGAGAAAUUUGACGGUACAUGAAGAAUAAGUUCCGGCAAACUACGUGCCAGCAGCCGCGGUAAUACGCAGGGAGCGAGCGUUUUCCGUAAUUAUUGGGCGUAAGGGGUGCGUAGAUGGCAUAGUAAGUCUUUUGUAAAAAUGCUGGGCAAAACCCAGUAGGGCAAAAGAUACUGCAAAGCUAGAGUAUGACAGAGGCAAGUGGAACUACAUGUGUAGCGGUAAAAUGCGUAAAUAUAUGUAAGAACACCAGUGGCGAAGGCGGUUUGCUGGGUCGAUACUGACAUUGAGGCACGAAAGCGUGGGGAGCAAACAGGAUUAGAUACCCUUGUAGUC